GUUUUACAAGGAGUGUGAGCCAAAAUAUGUGACAUUGAAUGACCUGGAUGGAAAUCAUAAGGGUAUUUCUGAAGAGUAGUGACAAAAAUAGAACUCCAAGUUAUGUCAUAUAAAGUGAGAUCUGUUUGUUGUGAGACCUUGGCCUGAUAAGUGAGUUCCAAGUUAUUAACUGUUAAGCUUAAACUUCCUUGGACAGCCUGUCACAGAGGCAUUUUAAAAUAGAAAAGCAUAUAGAGCCAAAUUAAAUACAGUUGUUUUUUUUAAAAGUGUGGGCUAUCUUCUUCUGCAACGGCUAAAAGACAUUUGGAGAGAGAUCCCCUCUCUGUUUUUCUGACUACCUGUAUCCUGUGCCUGAACUCAAGGAAAGUUCUUUGUCUUCACUUCCAAUGGGAUGAAACUGCUUUUAAGUCUCCUGCAUUAGACACUGGGAUCAAAUCAUCUAGAAGUUCUCAUUCACAUCUUGUAUUGUAAUGAAUGAGAACUAUAAAAGAUAAUAGGACAAAUGGAACUACUGGCUGAGAUAUUAAGCAACUUCUUCAUUACAUGGACUCUUGGGCAACAGGUUCCUAGGGUGAUUGUGCCACUUACUAUUCUUCCAUAGUCUCAUAAAUAGAGAUUAAAGAAUAUAUGGAGUUUCCCAACUUCCUCAUAUCAUUAUUUGGCAUUAAACUGAAACAUGUGCUUGAAUAAAAGGAAUAGAUGUUAACUUUCCAUCUGAGAAGGAUCAGAUUGUGCCCUUUUGCACUC
Molecule: long non-coding RNA, 747 nt
Organism: Sphaerodactylus townsendi
Lineage: Eukaryota; Metazoa; Chordata; Lepidosauria; Squamata; Sphaerodactylidae
Exons: 3
Source: RefSeq, a predicted model, not a curated record